RNAcentral lists this long non-coding RNA (1364 nucleotides) under Homo sapiens (human). Its description in RNAcentral is "long non-coding RNA NONHSAT186065.1". Lineage: Eukaryota; Metazoa; Chordata; Mammalia; Primates; Hominidae. The record is from RNAcentral.
CUUGAAGGCCCUAAAGGUGAAGUUGGAGCACCUGGUUCCAAGCUGGCCCCACUGGUCCAAUGGGUGCCAUGGGUCCUCUGGGUCCGAGGGGAAUGCCAGGAGAGAGAGGGAGACUUGGGCCACAGGGUGCUCCUGGACAACGAGGUGCACAUGGUAUGCCUGGAAAACCUGGACCAAUGGGUCCUCUUGGGAUACCAGGCUCUUCUGGUUUUCCAGGAAAUCCUGGAAUGAAGAAGCAGGUCCUACAGGGGCGCGAGGCCCUGAAGGUCCUCAGGGGCAGAGAGGUGAAACUGGGCCCCCAGGUCCAGUUGGCUCUCCAGGGUGCAAUAGGAACUGAUGGUACUCCUGGUGCCAAAGGCCCAACGGUGAGUACCUCUGGUCCUCCUGGCUCAGCAGGGCCUCCUGGAUCUCCAGGACCUCAGGGUAGCACUGGUCCUCAGGGAAUUCGAGGCCAACCGGGUGAUCCAGGAGUUCCAGGUUUCAAAGGAGAAGCUGGCCCAAAAGGGGAACCAGGGCCACAUGGUAUUCAGGGUCCGAUAGGCCCACCCGGUGAAGAAGGCAAAAGAGGUCCCAGAGGUGACCCAGGAACAGUUGGUCCUCCAGGGCCAGUGGGAGAAAGGGGUGCUCCUGGCAAUCGUGGUUUUCCAGGCUCUGAUGGUUUACCUGGGCCAAAGGGUGCUCAAGGAGAACGGGGUCCUGUAGGUUCUUCAGGACCCAAAGGAAGCCAGGGGGAUCCAGGACGUCCAGGGGAACCUGGGCUUCCAGGGUUUGACAGGAAAUCCUGGUGUUCAAGGUCCUGAAGGAAAACUUGGACCUUUGGGUGCGCCAGGGGAAGAUGGCCGUCCAGGUCCUCCAGGCUCCAUAGGAAUCAGAGGGCAGCCCGGGAGCAUGGGCCUUCCAGGCCCCAAAGGUAGCAGUGUGAGGUGACCCUGGGAAACCUGGAGAAGCAGGAAAUGCUGGAGUUCCUGGGCAGAGGGGAGCUCCUGGAAAAGAUGGUGAAGUUGGUCCUUCUGGUCCUGUGGGCCCGGUCUAGCUGGUGAAAGAGGAGAACAAGGACCUCCAGGCCCCACAGGUUUUCAGGGGCUUCCUGGUCCUCCAGGGCCUCCUGGAGAAGAUCAAGUAUUGAGAUUAUUUGACAUCCCAAUUUUGUGCUAGGGAGAACGAGGAAAUCCUGGGGAAAGAGGAGAACCUGGGAUAACUGGACUCCCUGGUGAGAAGGGAAUGGCUGGAGGACAUGGUCCUGAUGGCCCAAAAGGCAGUCCAGGUCCAUCUGGGACCCCUGGAGAUACAGGCCCACCAGGUCUUCAAGGUAUGCCGGGAGAAAGAGGAAUUGCAGGAACUCCUGGCCCCAAGGGUGACAGAGU